UACGGAGGGGGCUAGCGUUGUUCGGAAUUACUGGGCGUAAAGAGCACGUAGGCGGUCCGCUAAGUCGGGCGUGAAAGCCCGGGGCUUAACCCCGGAAUUGCGCUCGAGACUGGCAGGCUGGAGUCCGGAAGGGGAGAGUGGAAUUCCCAGUGUAAAGGUGAAAUUCGUAGAUAUUGGGAAGAACACCGGUGGCGAAGGUGGCUCUCUGGUCCGGUACUGACGCUGAGGUGCGAAAGCGUGGGGAGCAAACACG
This 253-nucleotide ribosomal RNA is filed under the name uncultured bacterium. Its description in RNAcentral is "partial 16S ribosomal RNA". It matches the Rfam family "Bacterial small subunit ribosomal RNA", at positions 524 to 776 of the family's 1533-position model. The record is from RNAcentral.